UAAUCCGAUUGUACAAUAAUUACCAACCGGUGUUCAUAAAUGUAUAUGUAAAUGUGUAUAAACUCGAUUUGUGUAUUGCAAGUAAAAUGAGAGAGAGUUGAGUAAAUGUAGUUCUUUGUAUUGAUUCUUGCAUUAGCCCUUUGAUAUUACACAAGGGAAGUAUUUAUAGUAGUACAUAUGAAAUGGGAGCCCUUGGAUGAAGUGGCACGUGGCCUCAUCUCUUUAGUUCAAACAUCUUUUCCUAGGUAUGGGUUUUGACUUGCUAGCUUGCGGCGCAUUUAUUGCUUGUGCAGGGCCUCCAUGCUAGUGACAAGACUUGACCUUUAUGCUUAUGACAAACGUUCCAUCAAUCAUUCAAAUAAGAUCUGUGCAAGCGAUCUCUUGGGAGAAGUAACCAUGGAGGAUGUUUCCUUGUGGUUCAGAGGCUCGCGCGUCAGCUUCGGGGUUUCAGCCAUUUGUCAUGAUACUUCCACUUGAGGGCCUCAGCUGCUGUCAACAGGUUCCAGCAGUCUGGUUUUGGUUCGUAGGCCUCGGUCAAUGAGCCUCGGACAAAAAGGAGCCUCGGCAGAUGGACUUCGGCUCGAAGCAGUUCGGAUGUAGCCCACCUCGACAUUGUGUGCUACCUCGGCAGGAAUGCCACGUGGAUCGCAAUAAGUGGGCCAUUGUCCCAGGUAUGUUGGUCAGGUGUGACAACGCGCAACAAAUACAACUAAAUGUGAGUCAUUGUGCUGUAGAUUAUAGUUGACAUUGUGCCUGUGGUACUGAAACUAUGCUUCCUAAAAAGGUUUCUUUGUUUGAAGUCUUUCUAUUCAUAUUAAAUGGCAUUCAAGUAUGUUCUAUUUGGACUUUACAAAUUAAAAAUUUCUAAAAUAUAUGCCAAGUUUCAUAGCUAUCAGAUACUUGACCUUUGAUAAUUUUUAAACUAAACUCCCUAGUAAGUUUCCAGUUUCCAAUGGUUUCUUUCCAUAAAUGUGUAUAUUAGCAAUGCUUGGAAAAGAAUUCUGUUAUAUAAUUUGUUAAAUCUUUUCUAAGUUACGCUUUCGGUGAAGGCAAAGUAAUCUACUAUAUGCAACUUAUUG
RNAcentral lists this long non-coding RNA (1079 nucleotides) under Olea europaea subsp. europaea. The record is from RNAcentral. Lineage: Eukaryota; Viridiplantae; Streptophyta; Magnoliopsida; Lamiales; Oleaceae.